This 1873-nucleotide long non-coding RNA is filed under the name Homo sapiens (human). Its description in RNAcentral is "HSALNT0275248". Lineage: Eukaryota; Metazoa; Chordata; Mammalia; Primates; Hominidae. The record is from RNAcentral.
AGGCACCAGGAUUCUGACCCUCAGGGGCCCUGUGGGCACCUCAGGAAGGAUCACAAGCACUGUCACCAAGGGCUAGGAUAUGUCACAGAACAGUCCAGAACACUGGAGGUGACAACUUAGGGUGAAACUCAAUGCAACACUGAUGCAGGCAUCAGAGGCCUCCACGGAGUCUGAGCCAACAGCCGCAGACCAGGAGCCAUGAGAAUGAGGCCCCUGUGCGGGACAGGAAGUGGCAAGUAUCCAUGUGUCCUGUGAAGAUACUCAGGAAUGCCUAAGGCCAACUCCGUGGUUGAGUGCCUCAUUCACACUCUUGUUGUUGUGGCUCUGGACUGACCGCAGGUAAGGCUUCACCAGGGGCAGCUGACCUGCCUGACAAGUUGAGGGAACCGUCAAGGCACUUGGCCAAGCUUGUUAUGGGGACACUAGGCAGGGGCACAGGUGGGCACGUGCGUGCCAUCCACUUGAAUGGUCCAGCUCUGGAGCCAAGGGCACCUUCUGGACACCUAGAACCAAAAGACCUACACUCACACAAAGAGGACUGUCUGGGCGAUUCAGUGGAUGCCAAUGUCACCACAGACAUUCACACCUUAGAGAGACACAUGGGUUUGGGUCCAGACCACCACAAUAAAGUGAACAUUGCAAUAAAGUGAGUCAUAUUAAUUCAUGUUUACACUAUGUUGUAGCCUAAGUGUGUAACAGCAUUAUGUCUACAAAAACACAGUACACACCUUAAUUAAAAAUAUUUUAGUGCUAAAGAAUGCUAACAAUCAUCUGAGCCUUCAGUGACUCGUAAUCUUUUUGCUGGGGAGGGUCUUGCCUCAAUGUUGAUGGCUGCUGAUUCAUACAAGUGGUGGCUGUUGAAGGCUGGAGAGGCUGUGGCAAUUUCUUUUUCUUUUUUUUUUUUUUUUGAGAUGGAGUCUUGCUCGUCGCCCACACUGGAGUGCAGUGCCGUGAUCUCGGCUCACUGCAUCCUCUGCCUCCCAGGUUCAAGCAAUCAAUUCUCCUGCCUCAGCCUCCUGAAUAGCUGGGACCAGGCGCUUGCCACCACGCCUGGCUAAUUUUUGUAUUUUUAGUAGAGACAGGGUUUCACCAUAUUGGUCAGGCUAAGUCUCGAACUCCUGAACUCAGGUGAUCUGCCCACCUCUGCCUGCCAAAGUGCUAGGAUUACAGGCAUGAGCCACUGCGCCCAGCCGGCAAUUUCUUUCCUUCUUUUUUUUGGGGCGGGAGACGGAGUGCAGUGGCGCGAUCUUGGCUCACUGCAAUCUCUGCCUCCUGGGUUCAAGCGAUUCUCCUGCCUCAGCCUCCUGAGUAUCUGGGAUUACAGGUGCGCGCCCACCACACCUGGCUAAUUUUUGUAUUUUUAGUAGAGACAGAGUUUCACCACGUUGGUCAGGCUGGUCUCGACCUCCUGACCUCAUGAUCCACACGCCUUGGCCUCCCAAAGUGCUGGGAUUACAGGCGUGAGCCACCGCGCUCGGCUGGCAAUUUCUUAAAAUAAGACAUCAAUGAGGUUUGCCUCACUGACUGACUCUUCCCUUUAUGUAAGACCACUCUGGACUUGUGUUGCAUAAAACAAAAUAAACUAAACAAACAAAAAGACUCUGUGCAGCAUGCAAUGCUCUUUGAUAGCACUGUACUCACAGUAGAACAUUUUUCAAAAUUGGUCUCAGUCCUCUCCAACCUUGCUGCCACUUUAUCAACCAGGUUUAUGCACUAUUCUAAAUCCCCUGUAGUCAUUUCAACAAUGUUCACAGCAUCUGCCCCAGCAGUAGAUUCUAUCUUAAGAAACCACUUUCUUUGCUCAUCCCUAAGAAGCAGCUCCUCAUCUGUUCAAGUUGGAUCCUAAGAUUGCAGCAAUUCAGCCCCUUCUUCA